Molecule: long non-coding RNA, 358 nt
Organism: Cyprinus carpio carpio
Lineage: Eukaryota; Metazoa; Chordata; Actinopteri; Cypriniformes; Cyprinidae
Source: Ensembl
CUUCUAGUAGCUGUGCGUGCAAACUGCCAUCGUUAAUCUUGCAGAGACGGCGAGCUUGAGCGGGGAGUUCUUUGGCGUGAGUGAGCAGGAGUAAAAAUACAAACUUUUCUUCUGCUAACACCAGAAAAAGAAGAAAGAAAAAAAACUAAAACCAUGGCUAACUACGCUACCAACAAAGUGUAUUCUGGAUAUCCUCUUGUCUUGCCAAUCGGACUCUGUUUACCUCUUGCCUGUAUUAUUGCCUGUUGUUGGAUUACGCAUUUGCCUCGCCUUCUGGAUAAUGUUUGCUGUCGUUCGACUCCAUCUGUUAUGGAUUACUCUUCAGUCUCACCUUCUAUGUCUCUGUUUGCCAUUGUUU